UACGAAGGGGGCUAGCGUUGUUCGGAAUUACUGGGCGUAAAGCGCACGUAGGCGGAUCGAUCAGUCAGGGGUGAAAUCCCAGGGCUCAACCCUGGAACUGCCUUUGAUACUGUCGAUCUGGAGUAUGGAAGAGGUGAGUGGAAUUCCGAGUGUAGAGGUGAAAUUCGUAGAUAUUCUGAGGAACACCAGUGGCGAAGGCGGCUCACUGGUCCAUUACUGACGCUGAGGUGCGAAAGCGUGGGGAGCAAACAGG
Molecule: ribosomal RNA, 253 nt
Filed under: uncultured bacterium
Lineage: Bacteria
Description: partial 16S ribosomal RNA
Rfam family: Bacterial small subunit ribosomal RNA
Source: RNAcentral